Molecule: transfer RNA, 76 nt
Filed under: Parcubacteria group bacterium
Lineage: Bacteria
Description: tRNA-Val
Rfam family: tRNA
About the family: Transfer RNA (tRNA) molecules are approximately 80 nucleotides in length. Their secondary structure includes four short double-helical elements and three loops (D, anti-codon, and T loops).
Source: RNAcentral
GCGGGGGUAGCUCAGUUGGCAGAGCAGUGGCUUUACAUGCUAUGAGUCGGAGGUUCAAACCCUCCCCCCUGCACCA